AGCCAACCAUGCCUCCCGAGGAGCAGAUGCCUCCUCUCUGAGCGGCCGGAGAGACCCGGAUGUGAUGCCAGCGGAGAAGCAGGCGAGAAAAGCAUGGAAGGGUGUGGGGUCAAUCGUCGACGGCAGGAGCCCGGGGGAAUCUUUCCAAGGCGUCUUGAGUCCUGUGCUGGGAUUCAAAGCCAGGCCUGCCCAGGUCAGCCGACGGCGACCGGUUCUUCAGGAACUCACCUACAGUUAGUUUUGCUUCUGAAAACACCACUGGAAGGCCACCAUCAGUGGCGUAUUUUAUGGACACCACCUACCCCCACCCAGGUGUGGUCACAGGGCCCUGAGCCUUGGGACCCAGGGAGAGCAUGGGGCAGACUUCUCCGUGAUCUGAUCAAAUAUUUGGUCAGCUUCCAG
This 402-nucleotide long non-coding RNA is filed under the name Piliocolobus tephrosceles (Ugandan red Colobus). RNAcentral's name for it is "lncRNA (ENSPTEG00000023031.1)". Lineage: Eukaryota; Metazoa; Chordata; Mammalia; Primates; Cercopithecidae. The record is from RNAcentral.